UCAAAAACAUGUCUUUUUGAAAAUAAUUUAAAGUCUAAUCUGCCCACUGAUAUAAAUAUUAAAGGGCUGCAGUAUAUUGACUGUACAAAGGUAGCAUAAUCAUUAGUCUUUUAAUUGGAGACUUGUAUGAAGGAUUUGAUGAAAUAUAAACUGUCUCUAAAUUAAGAAUAAAAUUUAAUUUUUUAGUUAAAAAGCUAAAAUUUUAUUAAAAGACGAGAAGACCCUAUAAAGUUUUAUAGUUUAUUUAUUUAAUAUAAAGUAUAUAAUUAAAUAUAAUAAUUAAAUAAAUUAUUUUAUUGGGGUGAUAGAAAAAUUUAAUAAACUUUUUUUAAAUGUAAACAUAUAUAAGUGAAAAAAUGAUCCACUUAUUGGUGAUUAAAAGAAAAAAUUACUUUAGGGAUAACAGCGUAAUAUUUUUUUUUAGUACGAAUAAAAAAAAAAGUUUGCGACCUCGAUGUUGGAUUAAGAUAAAAUUUAAAUGCAAAAGUUUAAAAUUUUGAUCUGUUCGAUCAUUAAAAUCUUACAUGAUCUGAGCU
RNAcentral lists this ribosomal RNA (536 nucleotides) under Chlosyne gorgone. Its description in RNAcentral is "partial 16S ribosomal RNA". The stretch from base 399 to 536 matches the Rfam family "Archaeal large subunit ribosomal RNA", at positions 2542 to 2680 of the family's 2987-position model. Lineage: Eukaryota; Metazoa; Arthropoda; Insecta; Lepidoptera; Nymphalidae. The record is from RNAcentral.